RNAcentral lists this ribosomal RNA (403 nucleotides) under uncultured bacterium. RNAcentral describes it as "partial 16S ribosomal RNA". It matches the Rfam family "Bacterial small subunit ribosomal RNA", at positions 30 to 526 of the family's 1533-position model. The record is from RNAcentral.
AUUGAACGCUGGCGGCAGGCCUAACACAUGCAAGUCGAGCGAGCGGCGGACGGGUGAGUAAUGUAUGGGGACUGCCCGAUAGAGGGGGAUAACUACUGGAAACGGUAGCUAAUACCGCAUACUAUCGGAUAACCCAUAUGGGAUUAGCUAGUAGGUAAGGUAAUGGCUCACCUAGGCGCCGAUCCCUAGCUGGUCUGAGAGGAUGAUCAGCCACACUGGGACUGAGACACGGCCCAGACUCCUACGGAGGCAGCAGUGGGGAAUAUUGCACAAUGGGCGCAAGCCUGAUGCAGCCAUGCCGCGUGUAUGAUGAAGGCCUUCGGGUUGUAAAGUACUUUUUGCAGAGAAGCGUUAUCUGCAGAAUAAGCACCGGCUAACUACGUGCCAGCCGCCGCGGUAAUAC